This 253-nucleotide ribosomal RNA is filed under the name uncultured bacterium. RNAcentral describes it as "partial 16S ribosomal RNA". It matches the Rfam family "Bacterial small subunit ribosomal RNA", at positions 524 to 776 of the family's 1533-position model. The record is from RNAcentral.
UACAGAGGGGGCAAGCGUUGUUCGGAAUUACUGGGCGUAAAGCGUGCGCAGGCGGCUUUGCAAGACAGAUGUGAAAUCCCCGGGCUUAACCUGGGAACUGCAUUUGUGACUGCACGGCUGGAGUGCGGCAGAGGGGGAUGGAAUUCCGCGUGUAGCAGUGAAAUGCGUAGAUAUGCGGAGGAACACCGGUGGCGAAGGCAAUCCCCUGGGCCUGCACUGACGCUCAUGCACGAAAGCGUGGGGAGCAAACAGG